Molecule: long non-coding RNA, 232 nt
Organism: Pseudoliparis swirei
Lineage: Eukaryota; Metazoa; Chordata; Actinopteri; Perciformes; Liparidae
Exons: 3
Source: RefSeq, a predicted model, not a curated record
GGGAGUAAAAGUGUUGCAUGAAUAUGACAAAACGAAGACAUUGACGGAUGGUACCCGGCGACAUAUGAUAAACCUACUGGUGGCUGACAUGAUUGAAGUUCAUGGGAGGAUCCCACCAACCUAUGUGCGAACAAAAUACGCUCUUGGCACUACCACUCUAUUUCCUUACCUGGGGGAUCCUUAAUCAACAAAUGGAUAUGAGCACUUCUAUGAUGCUGACAGUGGAUCUGGU